Molecule: long non-coding RNA, 461 nt
Filed under: Sorghum bicolor (sorghum)
Lineage: Eukaryota; Viridiplantae; Streptophyta; Magnoliopsida; Poales; Poaceae
Description: long non-coding RNA (SBIC_LNC015722)
Source: RNAcentral
AGUGGGCUAGUUUUUGAGAAGGAAACCGUUAUUCAUGUGGUUGAUAAAUCAUAGUUGAAAGUACUGUUCACUGAUUUGUUGUGAGAGAAAAACAUUACUGAGGUCUUGUUUAGUUUUCAAAUUUUUUUGAUUUAGAGCAUUGUAGCACUUUUCGUUUGUUUGUGAUAAAUAUUGUCCAAUUAUGGAUUAACUACGCUCAAAAGAUUUAUCUCGUGAUUUACAGACAAACUGUGUAAUUAGUUUUUUUUUACUAUAUUUAAUGUUUCAUACAUAUGCCGCAAAAUUCGAUGUGAUGGAAAAUCUUGAUUUUUUUUUUAGUUUUUUGAAUGAACUAAACAAUAAAUGGCUAGUAGAUUCGAGAGAAAACCUCAAACGAACACUAAUGCACCGGUCAGCCUGAUGGGACUUCAAUCCUAGCCUCGCAGGAGCGCGCGCAUACAAAGCCCUUUUUGUUCACCCUG